This 434-nucleotide ribosomal RNA is filed under the name uncultured Lachnospiraceae bacterium. Its description in RNAcentral is "bacterial SSU rRNA". It matches the Rfam family "Bacterial small subunit ribosomal RNA", at positions 341 to 792 of the family's 1533-position model. The record is from RNAcentral. Lineage: Bacteria; Bacillati; Bacillota; Clostridia; Lachnospirales; Lachnospiraceae.
ACGGAAGGCAGCAGUGGGGAAUAUUGGACAAUGGGGGAAACCCUGAUCCAGCGACGCCGCGUGAGUGAAGAAGUAUUUCGGUAUGUAAAGCUCUAUCAGCAAGGAAGAAAAUGACGGUACUUGACUAAGAAGCUCCGGCUAAAUACGUGCCAGCAGCCGCGGUAAUACGUAUGGAGCAAGCGUUAUCCGGAUUUACUGGGUGUAAAGGGAGUGUAGACGGCGAAGCAAGUCUGAAGUGAAAUGCCGGGGCUUAACCCCGGAACUGCUUUGGAAACUGUUUUGCUAGAGUGCAGGAGAGGUAAGCGGAAUUCCUAGUGUAGCGGUGAAAUGCGUAGAUAUUAGGAGGAACACCAGUGGCGAAGGCGGCUUACUGGACUGUAACUGACGUUGAGGCUCGAAAGCGUGGGGAGCAAACAGGAUUAGAUACCCUGGUA